Molecule: ribosomal RNA, 274 nt
Filed under: uncultured bacterium
Lineage: Bacteria
Description: partial 16S ribosomal RNA
Rfam family: Bacterial small subunit ribosomal RNA
Source: RNAcentral
UACGAAGGGGGCUAGCGUUGUUCGGAAUCACUGGGCGUAAAGCGCACGUAGGCGGAUCUUUAAGUCAGAGGUGAAAUCCCAAGGCUCAACCUUGGAACUGCCUUUGAUACUGGGGAUCUUGAGUCCGGGAGAGGUGAGUGGAACUGCGAGUGUAGAGGUGAAAUUCGUAGAUAUUCGCAAGAACACCAGUGGCGAAGGCGGCUCACUGGCCCGGUACUGACGCUGAGGCGCGAAAAGCGUGGGGGAGCAAACAGGGAUUAAGAAAACCCUGGUA